ACGCUCGACACCUACGGGAGCAGCAGUGAGGAAUAUUGGUCAAUGGGCGCAGGCCUGAACCAGCCAAGUAGCGUGAAGGAUGACUGCCCUAUGGGUUGUAAACUUCUUUUAUAUGGGAAUAAAGUUUUCCACGUGUGGAAUUUUGUAUGUACCAUAUGAAUAAGGAUCGGCUAACUCCGCGCCAGCAGCCGCGGUAAUCUGAGCGGGCUGGCAAGGC
This 217-nucleotide ribosomal RNA is filed under the name uncultured bacterium. RNAcentral's name for it is "partial 16S ribosomal RNA". It matches the Rfam family "Bacterial small subunit ribosomal RNA", at positions 328 to 539 of the family's 1533-position model. The record is from RNAcentral.